CUAACCUACGGGGGGCAGCAGUGAGGAAUAUUGGUCAAUGGCCGAGAGGCUGAACCAGCCAAGUCGCGUGAGGGAUGACGGCCCUACGGGUUGUAAACCUCUUUUGUCGGGGAGCAAGACCCGCCUCGUGCAGGCGGAGCGAGAGUACCCGAAGAAAAAGCAUCGGCUAACUCCGUGCCAGCAGCCGCGGUAAUACGGAGGAUGCGAGCGUUAUCCGGAUUUAUUGGGCGUAAAGCGAGUGCAGGCGGUUCCAUAAGUCUCAUGUGAAAACCUU
RNAcentral lists this ribosomal RNA (274 nucleotides) under uncultured bacterium. Its description in RNAcentral is "partial 16S ribosomal RNA". It matches the Rfam family "Bacterial small subunit ribosomal RNA", at positions 332 to 604 of the family's 1533-position model. The record is from RNAcentral.